AAAGAAACCAACAGGGAUUGCCCUAGUAACGGCGAGUGAAGCGGCAACAGCUCAAAUUUGAAUCUGGCUCUAGGGCCCGAGUUGUAAUUUGUAGAGGAUGCUUUUGGCGCGGUGCCUUCUGAGUUCCCUGGAACGGACGCCAUAGAGGGUGAGAGCCCCGUCUGGUUGGACACCAAGCCUCUGUAAAGCUCCUUCGACGAGUCGAGUAGUUUGGGAAUGCUGCUCUAAAUGGGAGGUAUAUGUCUUCUAAAGCUAAAUACCGGCCAGAGACCGAUAGCGCACAAGUAGAGUGAUCGAAAGAUGAAAAGCACUUUGAAAAGAGAGUUAAAUAGUACGUGAAAUUGUUGAAAGGGAAGCGUUUAUGACCAGACUUGAGCCCGGUGAAUCUCCAGCGUUCUCGCUGGUGCACUUCGCCGGCUCAGGCCAGCAUCGGUUCGUUGCGGGGGAUAAAAGCUGCGGGAAUGUGGCUCCCUCGGGAGUGUUAUAGCCCACUGCAUAAUACCCUGUAGCGGACCGAGGUUCGCGCUCUGCAAGGAUGCUGGCGUAAUGGUCAUCAACGACCCGUCUUGAAACNCGGCCNNNNNAUGCGAGUGUUCGGGUGUCAAACCCUACGCGUAAUGAAAGUGAACGCAGGUGAGAGCUUCGGCGCAUCAUCGACCGAUCCUGAUGUUCUCGGAUGGAUUUGAGUAAGAGCAUACGGGGCCGGACCCGAAAGAAGGUGAACUAUGCCUGUAUAGGGUGAAGCCAGAGGAAACUCUGGUGGAGGCUCGCAGCGGUUCUGACGUGCAAAUCGAUCGUCAAAUAUGGGCAUGGGGGCGAAAGACUAAUCGAACCUUCUAGUAGCUGGUUUCCGCCGAAGUUUCCCUCAGGAUAGCAGUGUUGAACUCAGUUUUAUGAGGUAAAGCGAAUGAUUAGGGACCCGGGGGCGCUUUUUAGCCUUCAUCCUAUUCUCAAACUUUAAAUAUGUAAGAAGCUCUUGUUGCUUAAUUGAACGUGGGCAUUCGAAUGUAUCAAC
RNAcentral lists this ribosomal RNA (1015 nucleotides) under Trichothecium campaniforme. RNAcentral's name for it is "LSU rRNA". It matches the Rfam family "Eukaryotic large subunit ribosomal RNA", at positions 58 to 1121 of the family's 3401-position model. The record is from RNAcentral. Lineage: Eukaryota; Fungi; Ascomycota; Sordariomycetes; Hypocreales.